GACGUAGGGCGCGAGCGUUGUCCGGAUUUAUUGGGCGUAAAGAGCUCGUAGGCGGCUUGUCGCGUCGAACUGUCGAAAUCCCGCGGCUCGAACUGCGGGUCUGCAGUCGAUACGGGCAGGCUAGAGUUCGGUAGGGGGAGACUGGAAUUCCUGGUGUAGCGGUGGAAAUGCGCAGAUAUCAGGAGGAACACCGGUGGCGUAAGG
This 204-nucleotide ribosomal RNA is filed under the name uncultured bacterium. RNAcentral's name for it is "partial 16S ribosomal RNA". It matches the Rfam family "Bacterial small subunit ribosomal RNA", at positions 524 to 721 of the family's 1533-position model. The record is from RNAcentral.